AGUAGAGAUGGGGUUUCACCAUGUUGGUCAGGCUGGUCUCAAACUCCUGACCUCAGGUGAUCCACCCAC
This is a microRNA precursor of Aotus nancymaae (Ma's night monkey), 69 nucleotides long. NCBI's taxonomy places the organism in Eukaryota, Metazoa, Chordata, Mammalia, Primates, Aotidae. The record is from Ensembl.